Long non-coding RNA from Raphanus sativus (radish), 700 nucleotides. RefSeq lists it as uncharacterized. Lineage: Eukaryota; Viridiplantae; Streptophyta; Magnoliopsida; Brassicales; Brassicaceae. The transcript has 2 exons. The record is from RefSeq and is a predicted model, not a curated record.
AGUGCACCAAUAAUAUACACAAAAGGCACUGAACAGGUUGAUCCAUAAUGUGGAUCAAAAGUUGAGUGAUGAAUGAUGAUUAUAUACAGGGGUAGAGCUAGCAGGCCUAUCUAAAAAAUAAAAUAGGGCUUGAAGUAAAGAAAAAUUGGGAUCCAUAAAUAAAAUAGGCCUUGAGGUAAAGAAAAAAUGGGAUCCAUUUUUCAGAUAAAAUAUACUUUUUAAAAAAAAUUGAACCCUAAUCCGGUUGGUUCGGUGUUGGUGUGUGUGGUUGAUGCUAUUCGGCAUGGUUCUAGCUUUUCAUCUUGAACAGGAGACUCAGAUAAUGGAUCAAUUUCUAAAAAUACACCAUAAACGAAUAUGAGAAGCUUUCCAGUGAAAUGGAUGAGAAGAAGGUGAAGCCUGAUGAGUACACUUAUGUUUUGUUGAUGGAUACUUUGUUUCAAGGAAGCGGUAAGAUAGAGGGAAGGAGCUGCGUAUUACAAAACGAUGGUUGAGUCGAGUCUAUGACCAAACUUAGCAGUGUAUAACCGGUUGCAGGAUCAGCUGGUUAAAGCCGGGAAACUGGACGAAGCCGUGUAUAAGCUAUGAUCCAACUUUUUUUUUUUUUCUAAUAUAUUUAACAUGGUUUAAAAUAGAUCUACUUUAUGCUGAUGUGACUGAAUAGUAAUCUUCAAUACAGGCUAGUGCAUGUUAUAUGCAA